RNAcentral lists this ribosomal RNA (4359 nucleotides) under Triticum aestivum (bread wheat). Its description in RNAcentral is "partial small subunit ribosomal RNA". Lineage: Eukaryota; Viridiplantae; Streptophyta; Magnoliopsida; Poales; Poaceae. The record is from RNAcentral.
AUGGGCGGAUUCUCUGCGGCUACAGCGGCGGAGCGGUGCGCCGUCGGGAUCCACGCGUCCCCGUCCUCGCCGGCGCCGCGCCCGCGGUCGCAGCGGCCGCUGCCCGCCCGCCGCGCCGCCGCCUCCCUCGCGGUCUCCCGCCGCAGCCUCCUCGUGCCCCGCGCCGUCGCCGCGCCCACAGACCGCGCCUCCCCGGAAGUUGUCGGAAGGUUCAAGCUGGAGUCCAACUCCGAGCUCCAGGUGACUUUGAACCCAGCGCCGCAGGGUGCGGUCGCCGAGAUCAAUCUCCAGGCGACCAACACCAGCGGCUCCCUGGUUCUGCAUUGGGGCGCCCUCCGCUCGGACAGGAGAGAAUGGCUCCUCCCGUCCCGAAGACCGGAUGGAACGACAGUGUACAAGAACAAGGCCCUCAGGUCACCUUUUGUAAAGUCAGGUGACAAUUCCACGCUGAGAAUUGAGAUAGAUGAUCCCGCAGUUCAAGCCAUCGAGUUCCUUGUGUUCGACGAGGCACGGAAUAAAUGGUUUAAAAACAAUGGCCAGAAUUUCCUAAUCCAACUACAGACAAGCCGUAAUGAGGGGCAAGAUGCACCUGGUGCUACUGCUUCUGCUAUUGUGGUGCCAGAGGAUCUUGUGCAGAUCCAAUCGUACCUUCGUUGGGAAAGGAAUGGAAAGCGGUCUUAUACAGCUGACCAAGAGAAGGGGGAGUAUGAAGCAGCACGAGCAGAGUUAAUAGAGGAAUUAAACAGAGGUGUUCCACUGAAGAAGCUGCGAGCUAGAUUAACAAAAACACCCGAGUCGAGUGGAAGUGAUGCUCCUGCAUCUCAAACUACCAUAACCAGUGUCCCAGAGGAACUUGUACAAGUCCAGGCUUACCUAAGAUGGGAGAAAGCUGGCAAGCCAAAUUAUUCCCCAGAGAAGCAACUGGUUGAGUUUGAGGAAGCAAGAAAGGAACUGCAGGCUGAGUUGGAUAAUGGAGCCUCAGUUGAUCAAUUAAGGAAGAAAAUUGUGAAAGGAAACCUUGAAAAGAAAGUUUCCAAGCAACUGGAGAAGAAGAAGUACUUCUCAGUAGAAAGGAUUCAGCGCAGAAACAGAGAUAUCACGCAACUUCUUAAUAAACAUAAGCCUGUGGUUACAGAACAGCAAGUAAAAGCUGCACCCAAACAGCCAACUGUUUUUGAUCUCUUCACAAAGUCCUUGCAGGAGGGGGAUAACUGUGACGUCCUAAGCAGGAAGCUUUUCAAGAUCGGUGAUGAGGAGAUACUGGCAAUUGCCACAAAUACUCUAGGUAAAACCAGAGUUCACUUGGCAACAAACCGUAUGGAGCCACUUAUUCUUCACUGGGCACUGGCAAAAAAGCCCGGAGAAUGGGAGGCACCUCCUUCUAGCAUAGUGCCUUCUGGCUCAACAGUUCUCGACAAGGCAUGUGAAACUUCAUUCGGUGAGUCUGAAUUGGAUGGUGUGCAAUACCAGGUUGUUGAGAUAGAGCUUGAUGACGGCAGAUACAAGGGGAUGCCCUUUGUUCUCCGGCGUGGUGAAACAUGGAUAAAGAACAACGACUCCGACUUCUAUUUGGAUUUCAACACCAAAGUUACUAAGAAAUCAAAGGAUACGGGUGAUGCCGGUAAAGGCACCGCAAAGGAUUUCCUGGAAAGAAUAGCAGAUCUGGAGGAAGAUGCCCAGCGAUCUUUUAUGCACAGAUUCAAUAUUGCGGCGGAUCUAGUUGACCAAGCCAGAGAUGCUGGACUAUUGGGUAUCGUUGGACUUUUUGUUUGGAUUAGAUUCAUGUCUACCAGGCAACUAAUAUGGAACAAGAACUACAAUGUGAAACCACGUGAGAUAAGCCAAGCACAAGACAGGUUUACAGAUGACCUCGAGAAUAUGUACAAAAGUUACCCACAGUACAGAGAGAUCUUAAGAAUGUUAUUGUCUGCUGUUGGUCGUGGAGGUGAAGGUGAUGUUGGUCAGCGUAUCCGUGAUGAGAUAUUAGUAAUCCAGAGAAAUAAUGACUGCAAAGGUGGAAUUAUGGAAGAAUGGCACCAGAAACUGCACAACAAUACAAGCCCAGAUGAUGUAGUCAUAUGCCAGGCGAUAAUUGAUUAUAUCAAGAGCGAUUUCGAUAUCAACGUUUACUGGGACACCUUGAACAAAAAUGGCAUAACCAAAGAACGACUGUUGAGCUAUGAUCGUGCAAUUCAUUCAGAACCAAAAUUCAGGAGUGACCAGAAAGAGGGGUUACUCCGUGAUUUGGGCAACUAUAUGAGAAGCCUGAAGGCUGUGCACUCUGGUGCUGAUCUUGAGUCUGCUAUUGCGACAUGUAUGGGAUACAAAUCAGAGGGUGAAGGUUUCAUGGUUGGUGUUCAAAUCAACCCGGUGAAUGGUUUAUCAUCUGGUUUUCCUGAUUUGCUUCAAUUUGUGCUUGACCAUGUUGAGGAUAAGUCAGCAGAGCCACUUCUUGAGGGGUUAUCGGAGGCUCGUGUUGAACUACGCCCUUUGCUCACUGGCUCAUCUGAACGCUUGAAGGAUCUUAUCUUUUUGGACAUUGCUCUUGAUUCUACUUUCAGGACAGCAGUUGAAAGGUCGUAUGAGGAGCUGAAUGAUGCAGCACCGGAGAAAAUUAUGUACUUCAUCAGUCUUGUUCUUGAAAAUCUUGCCUUGUCCACUGACGACAACGAAGACAUCUUAUAUUGCUUAAAGGGAUGGAAUCGAGCCAUGGACAUGGUUAAGCAAAAGGAUGACCAAUGGGCCCUCUACGCUAAAGCAUUUCUUGACAGAACCAGACUUGCCCUUGCGAGCAAGGGCGAACAAUACUACAAUAUGAUGCAGCCCUCGGCUGAAUAUCUUGGCUCAUUACUCAACGUUGAGGAAUGGGCAGUUGACAUCUUCACAGAAGAAGUAAUUCGUGGUGGAUCAGCUGCCACUUUAUCUGCUCUUCUGAACCGAUUUGACCCUGUUCUCAGAAAUGUCGCACACCUUGGAAGUUGGCAGGUUAUUAGCCCAGUUGAAGUAACAGGUUAUAUUGUAGUGGUUGAUAAGUUGCUUUCUGUUCAAAACAAAACUUAUGAUAAACCAACAAUCCUUGUGGCAAAGAGUGUCAAGGGAGAGGAAGAAAUACCAGAUGGUGUUGUUGGCGUGAUAACACCUGAUAUGCCAGAUGUUCUGUCUCAUGUGUCAGUUCGAGCAAGGAAUUGCAAGGUGUUGUUUGCGACAUGCUUUGACCCGAACACCCUGUCUGAACUUCAAGGACAUGAAGGGAAGGUGUUUUCCUUCAAAACUACUUCUGCAGAUGUCACCUACAGGGAGGUAUCGGACAGUGAACUUAUGCAGUCAAGUUCUUCAGAUACACAAGGUGGUGAAGCAAUACCAUCUUUAUCAUUAGUCAAGAAAAAGUUCCUUGGAAAAUAUGCAAUAUCAGCGGAAGAGUUCUCUGAUGAAAUGGUUGGAGCAAAGUCCCGCAACAUAGCAUACCUGAAAGGAAAAGUACCUUCAUGGGUUGGUAUCCCAACAUCAGUUGCGAUACCAUUUGGGACCUUUGAGAAGAUAUUGUCUGAUGAGACCAAUAAGGAAGUAGCACAAAACAUACAGAUGCUGAAGGGCAGACUUGCUCAAGAAGAUUUUAGUGCUCUAGGAGAAAUCCGGAAAACUGUUCUUAAUCUAACUGCUCCAACUCAACUGGUUAAGGAGCUGAAGGAGAAGAUGCUAAGCUCCGGAAUGCCCUGGCCUGGAGAUGAAAGUGACCACCGUUGGGAGCAAGCAUGGAUGGCAAUUAAAAAGGUUUGGGCAUCAAAAUGGAAUGAAAGAGCAUAUUUUAGCACCCGCAAGGUGAAGCUCGAUCAUGAGUACCUUUCCAUGGCUGUUCUUGUACAAGAAAUUGUCAACGCAGACUAUGCCUUUGUUAUUCAUACUACGAACCCGUCAUCUGGAGAUUCUUCUGAGAUAUAUGCUGAAGUGGUGAAAGGACUUGGAGAAACACUUGUGGGAGCUUAUCCUGGCCGUGCCAUGAGCUUCGUGUGUAAGAAAGAUGACCUCGACUCUCCCAAGGUACUCGGUUACCCUAGCAAGCCAAUUGGUCUCUUCAUAAAGCGGUCAAUCAUCUUCCGUUCAGACUCUAAUGGUGAGGAUCUGGAAGGUUACGCUGGAGCAGGGCUGUAUGAUAGUGUCCCUAUGGAUGUGGAAGAUGAAGUUGUACUCGACUACACGACCGACCCUCUCAUCACUGACUCUGGAUUCCGGAGCUCAAUCCUCUCAAGCAUUGCACGGGCUGGCCACGCCAUCGAGGAGCUCUAUGGGUCACCGCAGGAUAUUGAGGGAGUAGUGAAGGAUGGGAAGAUCUACGUAGUCCAGACAAGACCACAGAUGUAA